GACGAACGCUGGCGGCGUGCUUAACACAUGCAAGUCGAACGGUGAAGCUCCAGCUUGCUGGAGUGGAUCAGUGGCGAACGGGUGAGUAACACGUGAGCAACCUGCACCAAACUCUGGAAUAAGCGCUGGAAACGGCGUCUAAUACUGGAUACGAGAUCAAGCCGCAUGGGUAUGGUCUGGAAAGUUUUUCGGUUUGGGAUGGGCUCGCGGCCUAUCAGCUUGUUGGUGAGGUAAUGGCUUACCAAGGCGACGACGGGUAGCCGGCCUGAGAGGGCGACCGGCCACACUGGGACUGAGACACGGCCCAGACUCCUACGGGAGGCAGCAGUGGGGAAUAUUGCACAAUGGGCGAAAGCCUGAUGCAGCGACGCCGCGUGAGGGAUGACGGCCUUCGGGUUGUAAACCUCUUUCAGCAGGGAAGAAGCGAAAGUGACGGUACCUGCAGAAGAAGCACCGGCUAACUACGUGCCAGCAGCCGCAGUAA
Molecule: ribosomal RNA, 484 nt
Filed under: uncultured bacterium
Lineage: Bacteria
Description: partial 16S ribosomal RNA
Rfam family: Bacterial small subunit ribosomal RNA
Source: RNAcentral